This is a long non-coding RNA of Uloborus diversus, 653 nucleotides long. RefSeq lists it as uncharacterized. The transcript has 4 exons. Lineage: Eukaryota; Metazoa; Arthropoda; Arachnida; Araneae; Uloboridae. The record is from RefSeq and is a predicted model, not a curated record.
AGAUAACAGAUAAAUUUAAAGGAAACUCUUGAUGUCUUCAUAAAAUGUGAAAACUGAAAAAUUGUGGCAACUUAGAAGUUGUGAAAGUAAAACACUUCUCUUCAGAGCAAAAGAAAUUCUUCUGAUGUUCAACAGAGGGCAGCAGUGCAGCUGCGAUUACCUCUUUUACCUAAUGAAGACGGAUUGGCGAGGACGUACUGCGGAGAAAAAAAUGAAUAGGGGAAAUGAAACGUAUUAUACCUGAAGACCUGGCUUCAUGUCCUGUAUCUGACUUGUUUGGGGUAGAUCUUCAACCUUAAUCAUUGCUAUGCAGCUAACCCAUAAUGCCACACCAGAGAUCCAGGAAACUCCAAAAAUGAUGAAAUUUCAUUUAGACCUGCGAGCAGACUCUUGCACUGUAAAGUGAUCAACGUGCAAUCGAUCAUGUUUUGAAACAUGAAUUCAUCCUACAGCAAUUUGUGAAGUGGAACGUUAGUUGAAAGUUUUGCUGCUUUCCUGCAGAAGAUUGUUACUCUUUAAAUUAUUCAAUAAUAGGAAUGAAAAUUUGGAUAGAGACUAUCUGCGUUCCUCGCCCUGCAUGGAGGAGAGACUGAGGCAUCUUGAUAUUGAGAGGCAAAGAGCUUUAUGGGGCGAUAAUGUUAGAUCAUCAUUUG